AACACGUGGGAAAUCUGCCCUGCACUCUGGGACAAGCCUUGGAAACGAGGUCUAAUACCGGAUAUUACCUGUCCUCGCAUGGGGAUGGGUGGAAAGCUCCGGCGGUGCAGGAUGAUCCCGCGGCCUAUCAGCUUGUUGGUGGGGUAAUGGCCUACCAAGGCGACGACGGGUAGCCGGCCUGAGAGGGCGACCGGCCACACUGGGACUGAGACACGGCCCAGACUCCUACGGGAGGCAGCAGUGGGGAAUAUUGCACAAUGGGCGAAAGCCUGAUGCAGCGACGCCGCGUGAGGGAUGAAGGCCUUCGGGUCGUAAACCUCUUUCAGCAGGGAAGAAGCGCAAGUGACGGUACCUGCAGAAGAAGCACCGGCUAACUACGUGCCAGCAGCCGCGGUAAUACGUAGGGUGCGAGCGUUGUCCGGAAUUAUUGGGCGUAAAGAGCUCGUAGGCGGCUUGUCGCGUCGGAUGUGAAAGCCCGGGGCUUAACCCCGGGUCUGCAUUCGAUACGGGCAGGCUAGAGUGUGGUAGGGGAGAUCGGAAUUCCUGGUGUAGCGGUGAAAUGCGCAGAUAUCAGGAGGAACACCGGUGGCGAAGGCGGAUCUCUGGGCCAUUACUGACGCUGAGGAGCGAAAGCGUGGGGAGCGAACAGGAUUAGAUACCCUGGUAGUCCACGCCGUAAACGGUGGGAACUAGGUGUUGG
This 700-nucleotide ribosomal RNA is filed under the name Kitasatospora sp. A20MEE. RNAcentral describes it as "bacterial SSU rRNA". It matches the Rfam family "Bacterial small subunit ribosomal RNA", at positions 112 to 826 of the family's 1533-position model. The record is from RNAcentral. Lineage: Bacteria; Bacillati; Actinomycetota; Actinomycetes; Kitasatosporales; Streptomycetaceae.